This is a long non-coding RNA of Spodoptera frugiperda (fall armyworm), 1312 nucleotides long. RefSeq lists it as uncharacterized. The transcript is spliced from 2 exons. NCBI's taxonomy places the organism in Eukaryota, Metazoa, Arthropoda, Insecta, Lepidoptera, Noctuidae. The record is from RefSeq and is a predicted model, not a curated record.
UAGUCGAGUUCCUCGCCAAACAGUUACGUGAGUAAGCCGAUAACAUAAUAAUUAAUUUAGUAUGUCUCACGAAAGUUAUAAUGAAAUGAAAUGAAAGUAUUAUUUUUUUACCAAAAAUUGUUUAUAUUUAUGUCGUAUAUCUAUUUAGUGUGUCUUGCACAAAAUUUGACGUUCGAUUGUGUAGCUUUAUCCUAUGUGGCCCUUCGCUGCUUUUUACCGACUUCAAAAAAAAGGAGUUAUUUGAUUUUUAUGAUUAAUUUUGACCCAAUUACCAAGUAUAGCUGCAAUUUAAAAUUGUAUGUGUUAUUUUAAAAUGUGAAUUGAUAUACGUACAAUUUUCUAGUCAGAAAUUAUUGCCUAAAUGUCUAAUUCUAAUUUAAAUAGCAGCUCGUGUUAUGUAGUGUUUUGUCCAGUCAACUGAUGGUAGCGAGGUUCACUGUCCAGUGACACACGUACGCUGGUAUCGUCAUGAGCUAAUGUUCACAUGUAAACAGUGGCUCGUGUAGUGUAGAGAUUGUCCAGUCAAGAAAAAUCUAAAAUGAUAACUUAAAACUAUACCAAUUUGUGGAUUUUUCAAACUGAAUAUAGUUUUUUGUUUAUCAAAGGCUACUUUAUUACUAACUAAUUAACCUCUGCUUAGAUUGUGUGGGUUAGAAGCGUGAUGUUAUGAUUAUGUCAAUUGUAUUGCAUUUUUGAAAUGGACUCGGUAAUACUCUUUACCGAAAUUGUUAUGAACCUGUUUGGCGAAUGUGAUUUUUUUAAGGUGACAUUUUAAUAGAAAUGUGAAAUGGAUUUAUUUGACUUAUAUUGCUUGAAAAUUUCAUAAUUUAAUGUAUUAUCGAAGAAAUUAUAUUCACUUUCAUUAAUAUUAUAACUAUGUUGAUUUGAAAAAUGUCUAGUACCAAAAUGUAAACCAAAUAAGGCUAGGUAGUCUCGACAUUUAUAACGACGGAAUUCAGUCGCUAAGUCGUGACUUACUAUACAAGAUUUUGAACCUUAACAUUUUGUAAUUAAAGUUCAAAAAAUAACUAGAUAGCGACCAUAUUAUUAUUCUGUCGUUAGCAUAGUCGAGACUACCAAUCCUGCUCUUAACCAUUUUUUUUUUAUUAUUAAGUGUAAUUUUCAAUGUAUGCCAAUGGAUUUUGAGUUCUAAAUUCACAGUAUCAGAGUUGAUUUUGUAAAAGUACACUAUAUAUAGGUACAUACAGCGGAGGGCUUUACCGCAUAUGUACAAAAUACUGAAUAAGUAGCGUGUAUGUGUGAGCGUAUGAGUUUGCUUGUCUAUCUCAAUAAAUAUGACCUUUUUUGUCUA